This is a long non-coding RNA of Scophthalmus maximus (turbot), 1910 nucleotides long. RefSeq lists it as uncharacterized. NCBI's taxonomy places the organism in Eukaryota, Metazoa, Chordata, Actinopteri, Pleuronectiformes, Scophthalmidae. The record is from RefSeq and is a predicted model, not a curated record. The transcript is spliced from 5 exons.
GAUAGAACCUGUCCUCGGAAUGGGGCCGAUACUCAAAGUUCAGGUAUCCAAAUUGGUAUCGGGAAGGGGGCAUCUCUACAUUGUAAGCCAGGUUCCUUCGAGAAGUUUUCAUAUUUACGAAUGUUCCUCAAACGCAUCACCCGCAGUUUAAAAACAAAAAUACAAACAAACGCAGAAACAAAACAAACACCCAUAGCAUCUGCACAACAGCUGAGACACAGGCUCUCUGCUGGAAAACGGCAAGAUCCUCCUCUGAGUUUCCCGUCUGCUGUAAGCUCCAUGUCGAACUGCGCAGAGGCGUCGGCAGAACAGCAUCGCUUCUUAACGAAAUACGACACGUGUCAAAACACAAACGCGUGCACGGCAUUCACCCUGCGUUUGUAGAGGCACGUGCAAAUGGGCAAACACGACAUGCUUGUAAGCAGGCAGUGUUCCAGUGACACCGUUGAGGUCGGGGUGACUUCCUAAUCCUUUUGGGGUCACGCGGAUCUACAAAGAGAGCAGAUGACACAGCACAGAGGUCCAUGUUGCCACGGGGGAGAAGUGACCCAUACACCUGCCAACUUGAGCUGCAACAUGUUUUCUCACAGAGGGACUCCAUGCAACAUCCGUGCCUCUUGCGGUUCCCGAUGGAAGAGUUUAGCAUGAGGUAACCGGUCAUCCAUCGGUCAGAUCCAUCAUGCCACAGCGAUGUCAUGCCCCGGACUCGUACUUCCUGGAGCUUCUCGGAUGAAGGACUAUAAGGGCUGCAAGUGAGCAACCGGUAGGCAGGAGGCAAGGAACAGCAGAUAGAUUAAUCAGAGAGGCAGCAUGGCUCAAGACAAGUCCCACUCCCAUCAGGUCACGUGUUAUUUGCUCGCUAAUCUAAUCAAGCGAUUGAUGAUGUGACUGCUGAAACGUAUUCUUUUUAAAAGAGUGUACUCGUGCAGAAUGACCCUUUCCCUGGUGAAAGGCAUUCAUUCAGAGCUGAACUUGGGCUGAACUCACUGACACAUAAUCUCUCAGGAUUACGAAUUUUCCGGGACACUCUUCUUUUGCCAGUUCAUGGUGUCUUUCAUUCGCGCCGCAUGGUUGUUUUAGAGACGUCUGCUCUACAUGCAUUUCUGCCACAACUUUUACAAAAUGUAUCUUGCGCUAGGAGAAGUAUAUGAUUUGGCUUCACUUUUUUUCUAUACAGUCUAUGUGUAGUAGUGAUAUUUUAUCGGGAUGGCUUGAUUUCAUUCACUAUAAUAAUCAGGAACAAAUGAAAUGAUCAGCGUUAACUUUAUUUUUUUUUUCUUCUCAAGUCUGUCCUUAUGAAGUCCAUUAGAAGAGUUAUAAAUUGCCUCAAAAUGCCUUCUUAUCAUACUGGCCUGUAAAAAACAGUGAACAAGACCCACAGGCCAUGUUCUGCACAAAGAAUAUUUAGCUGAGCUUCAGCAGAGGUAUGCUGGUGGUUAAUUGAACGCCUUUUGGAAGUGUGUGUGUGCGUGUAGGCAGUUUCUAGUAGCUUAUAACUUCAUAUUAACUGAAGCUGAAACCUAAUUUUUUAUUGUUUGGUCAUGUGGGGAAGGAAUCAGUUAAUUUAAUAAUUCAUGAAUAUACUGUGGACUAUUGUUUACUGUGAUAUAAUAUAUCAAUAUAACAUUUUAGUACGACAAUUGCAGUGAGCGGUUUUAAUAUACCAAAUGAAAGACUUUAGAGAAAUGUCGAAUAAAUCCUUAAAGCAAGAGUCCUUUUCAUAAAAGUUGAGCAUAACUUCAUUUAGACCGGAGCUUUUGUAUUUUUUUCAAACUUUUUACGCCUGAAUCACGAAUGCUGCGAUGGCUGCUGUGAUUACAAUCUAACGAUAAUCCAAUGUACGGUAGAUGCAAAUUCCUCACAGAUGCAAUACUUUCGACAUGCAUAAUUAAUGUGCCUCCACACCGACC